CACCUCCCCACCUGCCAACCAAAUAUAGCUCUCUGCCCAUGAGUCUCAAUUCAUCAAGAGACUGUCCCUCUAUCUACACAACCAUGUAAGCCAAAGACACAAGACACAUCAUGGAUGUCUUUCCUUGUCUCCAAUCAACAACCAAACAGCAGUGGAUUUACCAAGGUCGUCCAGUCCCGUCUUCAUCUACUCGACCGAUGUACCCUUCGAACCCAAGCUCAAGAAUUCUUUUUCCAUGUAUGUAUUCAGUCAGAAGUGAGGCACUGUUGUACGUCCCGUGGAUACAGAAGGUGAAAAGGCUGCAGACGCCUCCCGGCACACUAAAUACCCACACCAGCAAGAUGGGGCUGCUUUGCGUACUCUGGGGAAGCUGAUGAAAAUAUCUGUCAAAAUCUGAAGUCAGAACCUACAUGUUGCAUAACCACCUUCUAAUAAACUCCCAGACCCUCU
Zalophus californianus (California sea lion) is the source of this 450-nucleotide long non-coding RNA. RefSeq lists it as uncharacterized. The transcript is spliced from 2 exons. The record is from RefSeq and is a predicted model, not a curated record. NCBI's taxonomy places the organism in Eukaryota, Metazoa, Chordata, Mammalia, Carnivora, Otariidae.